CUUUUCUAAUGUGUGGAGGUUUCCACUUACCUCACCACUGGUUUCUAAUCUAAUUCUGUGGUGGCCAACAGCAUGACCAGCAAGUUAGUCAGCAUGUCCAUUAUCUCAUAUACUAAAGGUCUCUGUGUGUGUGUGGGGGGGGGGCUUAAGAUCCACUCUCAGCAAAUUUCUGAUGUACAGUGGGGUAUUAUUCACUACAAUAGUCAUGCUGUUCACUGGGUCUCCAGAACUGUCUUCAUAUCCUUUGACCAACAGCGUCCCAUGUCCCCACAAUCUGCAGCCGUCACCCUGAUCUCUGCUUCUCUGUUGGGAAUAUCUUCCGGUGUCUCCUGAAUCCACCUCCAGCUGAUGUCCUCUCUGUGGUGAAGCUGUGUUUUUCUUUGAGAGGCUACAGUUUGUCAACAAGAGAAGCCAAGGUGCCUGGAGGUGGUGGCACAUGCCUGUGAUCCCAGCACUCAGAAGGCAGAGGCAGAUGGAUCUCUGUGAGUUCGAGACCAGCCUGGUCUACAGAGGAGUUCCAGGACAGCCUCCAAAGCCACAGAG
RNAcentral lists this long non-coding RNA (543 nucleotides) under Cricetulus griseus (Chinese hamster). RNAcentral's name for it is "lncRNA (ENSCGRG00015030848.1)". The record is from RNAcentral. Lineage: Eukaryota; Metazoa; Chordata; Mammalia; Rodentia; Cricetidae.